UAAUGGUAGAAACCACUAAUAGGAUUUCCAUGUCACCAUUUCUUUUAUUUCACUUCUUUCAGGGGAAAGUUCUCUUCUGAGCUAAUCCUUUUGAGUGCAAUACAUCCCCAGGGUAAACCCACUGGAAUCGUUGCAGUUGAUAGAAUUGCGCUUUGGAUGGAGCUGAGCCACUAUUGAAGUCCUAUGUUUGCAGUUCUUACACCGAUUGCCUUGAGAACGUUUUAUGACUGGUUUCACAUGUACAACGCCCAGGAUUUCAGCCAGCGUCUGGGAGUUAAUGGAUUAAAGGAAUUAAAGAUAGUUUAA
Molecule: long non-coding RNA, 306 nt
Filed under: Struthio camelus australis
Lineage: Eukaryota; Metazoa; Chordata; Aves; Struthioniformes; Struthionidae
Description: lncRNA (ENSSCUG00000008064.1)
Source: RNAcentral